UGAAGAGAGAGAUCCCAAAAAUCUUUUAAUUUUCUCUUUUGUUUUUUCUCGUCAGUCAAGGAAACGUGUGAGAGAGAGUUUUUUAUUUUCAUGCCAGCUAGCUCAUGAGUGGAGGGAGUACAAUUAUCUUUCUUAAUUUUGAUUGGUUGGAUAGAGUUGACAUAGAUAGAAAAUGAGGAUCGUUGAUUAAUCUUGAUCUAACAAUCAAGAUUAAUUCAAAGAAGCACACCAAGAAGCACAUAUUAUUAAAUAAAUUAAAAUGCUUAUAAUUCCCUUUUU
This 279-nucleotide long non-coding RNA is filed under the name Lathyrus oleraceus (garden pea). RNAcentral's name for it is "Pisum sativum (pea) long non-coding RNA (PSAT_LNC040775)". The record is from RNAcentral. Lineage: Eukaryota; Viridiplantae; Streptophyta; Magnoliopsida; Fabales; Fabaceae.